UGAUCUACGGGAGGCAGCAGUGGGGGAUAUUGCACAAUGGGGGAAACCCUGAUGCAGCAACGCCGCGUGAGUGAAGAAGGUCUUCGGAUUGUAAAGCUCUGUUCUUGGUGAAGAUAAUGACGGUAGCCAAGGAGAAAGCUCCGGCUAACUACGUGCCAGCAGCCGCGGUAAUACGUAGGGAGCGAGCGUUGUCCGGAAUUACUGGGUGUAAAGGGAGCGUAGGCGGGGAUGCAAGUUGGGUGUCAAAACUACCGGCUCAACUGGUAGUCGCACUCAAAACUGCAGCUCUUGAGUGAAGUGGAGGG
Molecule: ribosomal RNA, 305 nt
Filed under: uncultured bacterium
Lineage: Bacteria
Description: bacterial SSU rRNA
Rfam family: Bacterial small subunit ribosomal RNA
Source: RNAcentral